This 203-nucleotide long non-coding RNA is filed under the name Elaeis guineensis (African oil palm). RNAcentral describes it as "long non-coding RNA (EGUI_LNC034267)". Lineage: Eukaryota; Viridiplantae; Streptophyta; Magnoliopsida; Arecales; Arecaceae. The record is from RNAcentral.
UGAAUCUGUCAGAUGGGAUUAAUAGAUUGUUACAAAUCUAUUGGAUCUUUCGAUAUAUUUCUUGAAGUCUUCACUCGACCUCAACAUCUUAGUUGGUAUGUGUUUCAGAGCACAAAAGAGAUUGUCAGUCAGAGGUUAAAUCAUGCCCUGACCAAGGACUUGAAGAUCGUCGUCUCCUUGGCUCUUGAGUAUGAUCCGCCGCC